Molecule: small nucleolar RNA, 135 nt
Organism: Echinops telfairi (small Madagascar hedgehog)
Lineage: Eukaryota; Metazoa; Chordata; Mammalia; Afrosoricida; Tenrecidae
Gene: SNORA70
Rfam family: Small nucleolar RNA SNORA70
About the family: snoRNA U70 seems to be exclusive to mammals and is a member of the H/ACA class of snoRNA which contain H (ANANNA) and ACA box motifs. H/ACA box snoRNAs are involved in the conversion of uridines to pseudouridines (5-ribosyluracil) a constituent of structural RNAs (transfer, ribosomal, small nuclear, and small nucleolar).
Source: Ensembl
CUGCAGCACAUAAGCCGAGCGUACCUCCUUCCCGUGGGGCCAGGGUGCCAUGGCUGCAAACAGCCACCCAUCUUGGUAGUGUCUGCACGCAUCCUGCUGGCGAGCAGACUGCCCUCAGGGACCUGGGAGGCAGCC